RNAcentral lists this long non-coding RNA (961 nucleotides) under Fukomys damarensis (Damara mole-rat). RNAcentral describes it as "lncRNA (ENSFDAG00000032347.1)". The record is from RNAcentral. Lineage: Eukaryota; Metazoa; Chordata; Mammalia; Rodentia; Bathyergidae.
CCCAGCUGCUGGGCAGGGCGGCCUUUUCAGCAGUCCCGGGAUGCGGAUUAGGAGUUUGAGCAAUGCCCCUAAACCCUGCACUCUAUUUAAUUUCCUUGAUUUAUGGCAAGGAUUUCUUGCACCUCCAGGGGAGAGAGGCGCAGCUACACAAGUUGCUUCCCAGGCUGAGCCCAGCUUCCCGAGCCUGUUUAUCCCCUCGUCAUAACAACAGAGCCCGUCUCCAGGGGCCCGGGAGGCAGAGCCAGGCCGCAGCUCCUCUUCAUCUGCCAGGAUUUCCUCCGCUGGUGCUGGCUCUGGGUUCCGAUCCUGAAGACGCCCCAGGACGUCAGACCACCAGCCUGGCCGGGAUUCCUCCAGAGGCAACACACGCAAUUCACGCAAGUUCUCUGAUUACUAUCGUGCUGCUAAAUCCUCUGGCCACCCUGGGUCUUUCCAAUCCCCGUGCUAUGAGCCACUUCCUCUCACUCUCCAGCUUCGAUUAAGGGAUACAAAUCAGGGGCAUCGGACCUCACAUCCAGCAGCUCACAGGCGCUGUCAACAUUUGCCAAGAUGCGCUUCUUGGAUAACGUGGAAAACAGACCAUCAGUCCAGCCUAGGUGAGGGAAGCCGGCCAGACAGAUUUCUCCAGGGUAGGAGUUUUCAGAGCUCAAGGGCAUGGUGGCCACGAAAGAGGAGGGUGAGGUCACCUUUAGCAGCAUGUCCUGGACUUGACCACAGAAAUCCACUUCUGGAAGAGCAUUACAAAGUGCUAAGCGCAUUUGGGACAUGUGGACGCGGGGGACAGAGCUUUUCAUUCUCCUGGUGUGGUCCCUCUUUAGCAGCAUGUACCAGGAGGAAAGGGGCCACAGCAGAGUUCUGCAGACGGGCCCUGCAAGGUUUGCGUGGUCCACAGCUGCUGGGCUGCCUGCCACACCUUCCCCGUGGUGCCUACGGUGGCCUGGGACAGCCUCUCAAACAGCCG